Molecule: long non-coding RNA, 7638 nt
Filed under: Capsicum annuum
Lineage: Eukaryota; Viridiplantae; Streptophyta; Magnoliopsida; Solanales; Solanaceae
Description: long non-coding RNA (CANN_LNC000014)
Source: RNAcentral
UCAAAAUCACGUGUCUACAUUUUGCCCCUCCUUGUUUGAAAUCUCGAAGAGUUUUCAUACAAAGAAGUAGACAAAGAGAUGAUUUUUGACCCUCCGAUUAUUCUAAAAGUAAAUAAAAAAUAAAAGAUGUGACCGAGUCCUGGUUUUGAACCGCCUACAUAUUUCGGGUUUUGAGGAAAUCAGGUCACAUGUAGUUCAAUGAGGUAAAAUGGUGAGACAGUGAGUUAGAGAUUGAGUGAGGUUCCAUCGAGUUUCCGAUUGACGACUUCUCCUUUUACAUUUACAUGAAUAACAAAAAUAAAAUUAAAGAUACAAGUGAAAGUUCCUAUCUAUUCAGCUAUUCUAAAAUAUUGACUUGAAUCUUCAUGACUUCUCAAAUGGUGAGAUAGUCAUUAUUCCGAGUUGAACUUGAUACAUGAAAUGUUUCCCCUUGUUGGCUUUUGGCAUUAGAGGGGAACUUGACAAUUGAUUUAUUUUUCAGAUUUUUUCUGGCUUGGCCUUGAAGAUCCUAACACUAUUCUUCAGAUAGGCUCCUGACUUGCAACUGAUAAUGUUCACCCUAUUUUUCAGGCGGGCUCUUGACUUUUCUUUUUCUUCACCCUAUUCAUCAGGCGGGCUCCUGGACUUAAUUUCUUCACCCUGUUUUUUAGGGGGCUCCUGGACUUUCUUUCUUCACCCUGUUCUUUAGGCGGGCUCCUGGACUUUCUUUCUUCACCCUAUUCUUCAGGCAGGCUCCUGAACUUACAAUUUUUGAUUUUUCUAAUAUGUUCCUGAACUCAAAAUAAAAGGUGAAACAAAAAACUAACACCCCAUUCUUCAGGAGGGUCCUGUCCAAUUCUUCAUGAGGUUCCUGAGCAUAAAAUAAAUUCUCAUUCUUCAGGAGGGUCCUGAGCAAUAAGUAAAUUCCCCUUCUUCAGGAGGGUCCUGUCCCAUUGUUCAGGAGGGUCCUGAGCAUAAAUUAAAUUUUCAUUCUUCAGGAGGGUCCUGAGCAUAAAAUAAAUUUCCAUUCUUCAGGAGGGUCCUGAGCAUAAAAUAGAUUCCCAUUCUUCCGAAGGGUCCUGUCCCAUUCUUCAGGAAGGUCCUGAGCACAAAAUAAAUUUCCAUUCUUCAGGAAGGUCCUGUCCCAUUCUCCAGGAGUGUCCUGGGCAAAAAAUAAAUUCUCAUUCUUCAGGAGGGUCCUGAGCAUAAAAUAAAUUCCCAUUCUUCAGGAGGGUCAUGUCUUAUUCUUCAGGAGGGUCCUGAUCAUAAAAAAAUUCCCAUUCUUCAGGAGGGUCCUGUCCCAUUCUUCAGGAGGGUCCUGAGCAUAAAAUAAAUUUCCAUUCUUCAGGAGGGUCCUGAGCACAAAAUAAAUUUUCAUUCUUCAGGAGGGUCCUGCGCAUAAAAUAAAUUUCAGUAAACACGAACAAAAUUUUGGUCCAGUUUACACUAGAAAAUUUUGUGAGUGUCAUCUGGUCACAACUUGUGAAAAGUACAGUAAAGGGAGUGAAUCAAGGCCUUUCUAAAGAAAUGCAUCUUUUUAGAGUAAAACUAAUGACUUAGGAAAUGUGUCUCCUAACACAUGAAACUUAAAUUAACCAGACAAGAAAGUGCGUCUUCAAGGGAUUAAAUUAAAUGACUCGAACUAGAAAGUGCGUCUUCUAGGAGUGAUGGUUCAAGUUAGGAAGUGCUUCACCUAACAAAUGAAAACUGACUUAUUCAGACUAGGAAGUGCGUCUCCUAAGGAUUGAAUGAAAUGACUCGACUAGAAAGUGCGUCUUCUAGGAGUGAAGGUUCAAGUUAGGAAGUGCGUCACCUAACAAAUGAAAACUGACUUAUUCAAAUUAGAAAGUGCGUCUCCUAAGAGUUGAAUGAAAUGACUCGACUAGAAAGUGCGUAUUCUAGUAGUGAAGGUUCAAGUUAGGAAUUGCGUCACCUAACAAAUGAAAACUGAAAUACCCAGAAAAGGAAGUGUGUCUCCUAGGGGUAAAUGAUGAUGAGUUUUCACCAUGAUUGUGAUUACCAAACAUGUGUAGAAAUAUUGUCUGUUGCAUUUGCAAAAUGAGGAAUUGCAUCUUUUGAUAUUUAGGCUUUGAAGCCCUUGAAUUGAAGGUAACAUGUUUUUGUUUCAUACAAGAAAACUUUUUAAUUUAAAAACACGAUGGUUGAUUUGUGGCAUUUGGCCAGGCAAUCUCUUGCACUAGUCAUACUCAGCUCCAUUCCAAAUCGUUGAUAGGUAUUGUUGACUUGCUAUAGUAUUGACCACAAAUUCGGACUACUAAAACCUUUUGAUUCAAAUCAUAUUUCUCUUGCAUGAUGCCUCGAGAUUCAGAUUCAAAUACACCUUUUAUACUUUUAUGAGUCCAAAAAUUGUCAGAUUACAAGCAUUCUCGAGUAUUUCUAUGAGUCCAAAAACUUUUGUCUUGCUUUGCACAACUAAAGGAGUUGGUAGCAAUUUUUGAAGUUCUUCCUCAUUUAUCUUGACAAAAUUUUGACUCAAAAAUACAUGAAAGAUGACGAUAGUGAUUUUAUUUUGACCACAAAGAUACAAUAAUUUAAAAAUAAUAAUAAUAAAAAAUAGCAAUGAAAUAAAAAUAAAAAUAACAAAAAGAAUAGAAAAGGACAAUAGACAUUUUUUUUUUAAGAAAAAAGUCGAAAUAAAAAUGUUAUCUGGGUGUGGCAGCUGAUUUUAGUGAUUAUGACAUGCAUUUUGAAUUAAACAACUUGAUCUAUCCAAACUAAUCACUGUCAUUUUUUACCCACUCAUUGAAUUUGAAAGGGAGUCAUUCUUGAACUUGUUCCCUCUGGAUUAUAAUCUUCUUUAGGCUAGUGACACCUCGAUGGGUUUUCGCCAACAAGUCGCUCCCAUUUUUUUCUUUUUUAACUCAUUGUCGUCUUAUGGUUCCCAUGAAGACUUUUACCAAUAAGAAUCUCAUUUUAUUGAUCUCACAACUCACGGUCGCCUUAUGAUGCCCAAAAGAAUUUUCAUCAAUAAGACUCUCACAUUUUUUAUUUUAUUUUUUUCAGAAAAUAACACUCAAAAUAUGAAAUAUCAUGCACCCAUAACAUGUUUAGCCUUGACAUUCUCAAAGAUUGAUCUGAAGGUAUUUCUUUGAUUGUAACUUGGCUUUUGGAAUGGGAUAGAAAGAAAGGUUGGCAUGUGGCUUAAAAUUUACACAACAUUGGGUAAAAUAUACAACUUUUGGAAUCGACUCUUUUAAGAAAAUAAACUUUUGCCCCAGUUUUAUUUCAUUUUGGGUAACUUGAAUUUUUCUUUGGUUGGACCGAACCCAGAAUAGGGCUGCCUACGUAUCUUGUCAUAGCAAGAAUCAGGUUAAACGUAGUUCAGGACAUUUCUUUUGCUUAAAUAUGGAUUUUUGAUUGAUUUUUUCUCUUUCUUUUUUUUUAACUACAUUUUUCUUGAUACUUUCUUUUUUGACCUUUUCAAAUUCUAUUUUGAUUCCAAAAGAGGGGUACGAAAGAAACUAACAGUAAAGCUCAAAAGGGGUAACAAAGGAUGACAUAACAUUUGGGUAGUAGAAUGAAAUGCAUUCGUCAUAUCAAUCCUUAAAAACACAAGUACAUAACAUGUAAUCUGAGAGUAGAACAUGAAGAUCAUACGCAUCUUUUUCAUCAUAGAUCGCGACUAAGCUCAUGCACUUGCUUUACUUCUUUUAAGCUUGUGAUAUAUACAUGUCCACUUAUAUUGUAGUUUUCUCUCGAUGGAUGACUCAUGCCCUUUUGAAACUAACCUCCUUUUGCUUUUCCUGAUAGUGGAUAUUACAAAUUCUCUGAUCGACCCCAUUCAAAAUUAUCAAUUUGAAUCUUCUAAUCAAUGAUCAAGUUAUUUUCUGACUCACAAAGUGAUUGCCUCAAUACAUUCAAGUGAGGCUGUAACUAUGUGCCCAAAUACCGGAACACUUACUUAUUUUCUUAUAUAUUUUCAACUCUAUCUUCUUGGUCAAAUGUUUCAGGAUUAGAUUAGAUUUAAAGAUCAGUCUGUGAAUUCGAUAUGCAUAUUACAUCUCUAGAAUCACCAUAGAAAGAGCUCUCUAAAGAAAAGAAAGACAACAAGACAAUAUAUAAUAAAUAAUAAAUAAUAAAAUAAAAAUAAAAGGAUAUACAUUUGUUGACAGAAAGAUAGCAGAAUUUGAAUAGAAAUAAUAAUAAAACAAAGCAAGAUAGAUCCCGAACUCCAACCCUAAAAUAAUUUGGGUAGUUGAAAGAAAAACAAAACAGACUACCAAAACUCCUUCCUCAUGAGGGGCGAAGUGACUUUCAAAUUACCGAACAUAAUAUUUUAGUCACUGAUUUGCACAUCGGCCUUAGUGGAGUCUUCACAAUCAUUGCUACAUCAUUCAUUUUUUUCGCCCCAACCAUUCUGAAUUGAUCAUCGUCAAACUCUCAUCAACAGUUUCUUUUUCCCACUACUCGAUUACAAUAAUUUUUCAGAAGAGCCAAAAGAGCACCAUAACCUUUGUACAUGUCCAACUUUGGUGUUUUGGACUCUAGAGGCAAGUGAACAUUGUGAAACAUAUACAUAUCCUUGUAAGAAACUCUCUUUUUCUCUCUCAAUAUUUGUAUGUUUCUUAUAUUUUGCUCCAAAUUUCUCACUUUCCAAGCCAUUUCUUCUUAUUCCUCACUUUUAAUAGGCUACACCAACUCAUCUCAGGCCCUAUACCAUUUUUGUGGGUUAUUUUGCCUGUUCUUUGGACCUGGUCUUGUAUGGGUGAGAUGUCAACUUAGCCACAAACCAACCACCUAAUAUUGUUUUAAUUUUGGAGAAAUAUAAUGUGUCAAAGUUCAAUUUUUUUUAAGACCACCUAAUCCAUGAAGGACUGCCUACAUAUCUCAUUAAGAUGAGAAUCAGGUGUGCGUAGUUCGUAAAAUAUAUGUCAUACAAAAUUCAGCCUCAAAACCCCUAAAGGUUCAGGGCUAUUAAGAUUUAUAUAGUUUUAUUUAUUUCGUAAAAACUUAGCCUCAUGAUCCCUAAAGAUUCCGGGCUAUUGAAAUAUAUUUUUAUUUUAUUAUUAUUAUUAUUUAUUUUUAUUUUUUUGUGUAAAACCUUAUCCUCAUGAUCCCUAAAGAUUCAGGGCUAUUAAGAUAUAUAUAAAAAUUGGACUUGAAAAUUAGAAAAAUAAUUAUGAAAAUAAUUAUAUUUUUAAAGUAUUUUCUAAUAAAUCUAUGAAUAAUUUUUUAAAAAGAUAGGGUCUUAUCCUGGGAAGGACUUCCUACGUAUCUCACUAAGAUGUGAGAAUUAGAACCUCGUAGUUCAUAAAGAUUGUAAAAACUGUGUUGCUGUAUAUUUAAAGAAAAUUUUUAUUUAAAAGUAAAAAUUUUCUUUGAAAAACGAUUGACUAAAUUUGAGGAUAAAUUAAUCUCUCGCAUUUUAAAAUUGCCUAAAGCCGGUCAGCAAAAUAAAUAGUCUUUCAAGCAAAUGUCAAAGAGCAGGUAGGAUGCACAUGUUAGUCUUUAUAAAUUAGGUCAUUUGUCCUAUAAAGAUCCGGCUCCUGUGCUGAAUCCCACUAAGUCAAUGCAUAUGAUGCAAAUAAAGCGGCACCUAAUAGGGAUAACCAGAUUCUGAAUUUUCAGUUCUUCUAAGUUUAAGCCUAAUAGGGAUAGGUGUCAAGACUGGCUUAGCCGAGCGGACACUCGAUCCAGGGAGGGACAACUUGAUCGGUAGCAGGGCAACACAGCCUUCGUUGUCGAUCCGAACCCCGCCUAACACGUGUGACUAUAUCCUUCACCAGGUGCCUUGACACUCCGGCUAUCUCAAAAAGAAGGUGGGAUGCAUAUGUUGCAUUCCCUCUAUCCUAUUUCAGAGAUUCAGAAGGGGUACGCGAGAGAAGACAAUAUAAAAUACAGUUGAAAUAUUAUCAAAGCAGUAAAUGAGCAACAAGUAGCACAAAAGGCCAACUAACACAAUAUCAAAAUAAUUAAAGCAAGUAAAAAUCAAUAUCCAAAGCUCGAAUUCUAAUCAAUCCCCAGCAGAGUCGCCAGAGAUGUCACACCCAUUUUCGCUCGAGGAAUCGAGUCGAAGAAUUUUUCUAAUUAAAGUGACAGUAUUGAAUAGGGAUUAAUUAAAUUACAGAGUCGCCACUUGGAAUUGAGUUUUGGUGUUCCAAGCCACCUUUUUGAAUCCCUAAUCAAAAGAACAUGACUCUUUAUUGGUCUACGAAAAUAGAAGACCGGGUAAGGAAUUCUGUUGACUGAGGGAAAGGUGUGAGGCACCCCUCGAGUCCCGUGGUUCUAGCACGGUCGCUUUUAUUGACUUAUCUUGACUUAAACUAUUUUUGAUAUAUUAUGUUAGGAUCCAAGUUCGCUCAUUUUUUAAUAUCUAAAUUAUUUAAAACUCUUGUAUUAAAUAAAUUAGUGAAAAUUAAUUUUAGAAAAAUAUUUGUCGAGGUGCAUUAUUGCAUUCUUGAAUUUUUAAACGUCUCAGAAAGAUGCGUACGCCGCAUUCUUAAUCGAGACAAAUAUAUAAAACUUACCUAACAUUAAAAAGAAAUAUAUCAUCUUUUAUAAACUCGAGGCAAUUUUGUCUUGUUUAACGAAUUCAAUAAUAAUUUUUUUUAUUAUAAAUAAUUAAAAUAAACUAGUAAAGAAUGAAUGUGACAAAAUGGGAAAUUGAACAAAUGUAAAUUUCAGCAUUAAUAUAGAUUCUAAAAGAAGUGAUAAGAAAAAUGAAAGUUAAUUUCCCGUAAAGCUAACAAAUUCCUUUAUACGGCCCCACUAUAAGAACUAAAUUAACAUAUCAUUUUUAAUUUCACUUCAUGCACAUAAAUUGACAAAUUAUGUUAAAUACUCCAAAUUCAAUUUCUAACAUAUUUAUAUUGCUAUAUAUAUGUUUUAUUAAAUCUAAUAUAUCAACUACAAUUAACCCAUGUUACAUAUUAUGUGUCAAUAUCAAUACAAAUUUCAAUAUUUUUUAAACAUAAGUUUGUAUGAUUUUCUUUAGCAUGUAUAUGCAUGUAUUAUUUUUAGAACUUUUGAAACACUAUUUUUUAAUUAUGUAAUGAAACUUUCAUAAUCCUCUGAAAAAUAAAAAUUCAACAAUUACAAAAUAAUAAUUUAAAAUUCCUAAUUAAAAGGAAACGUUACAUUUUUUCAUUAUCCAAAAAAAAAAAAAAAACAUUCUGAUGGUUAUAAUUAAUCAAACGAAUCAAGAAGAACUAUAAGCAAACAACAAGUCACAAUAUAGCAAUUGAAAAUUACUUACAAACCAACUAAGAUUACUUCUUUUGUUUUUUAUUCAAUACAGUAACAAAUUAUAAAUAAAAAGUAGAGCGGAAAAAAAAUCCUUACAUAGAUAUGCUUUAAAUAUUAAAUUAUAGAAUUAUUAAAAUAACUUUGAUCAUGAUUUGAUUCAUAACAUAACUUAUAAAAUAAAUCAAAAGAAUCUGAAUUAGAACCUGUAUGAUAAGUUAACAAAAGAUAAAAAUCAGAAUGUCGCCAUCGAAAAGCUCGAACAAAAUCAAAACUCUAAUAGUCAAACCCAAAGAACUUUUAUUUUUAUGAUUUUCUAAGUUUUCUCCUUCACAAAAUGUUCUCUGUUUUUUUUUUUGUUUUUCAAGUGUUUGCCUUUGUCCGUGUGUGUGUGCCAAUGCUAAUUUAUAUUUUUUUGGUUUAAUUUUAUAUUUUUUGGUUUCUCUCCUAAAAAUU